This 445-nucleotide ribosomal RNA is filed under the name uncultured bacterium. Its description in RNAcentral is "bacterial SSU rRNA". It matches the Rfam family "Bacterial small subunit ribosomal RNA", at positions 339 to 796 of the family's 1533-position model. The record is from RNAcentral.
CUACGGGAGGCAGCAGUGGGGAAUAUUGCACAAUGGGCGCAAGCCUGAUGCAGCGACGCCGCGUGGGGGAUGACGGCCUUCGGGUUGUAAACCUCUUUCAAUAGGGACGAAGCGCGAGUGACGGUACCUAUAGAAGAAGCACCGGCCAACUACGUGCCAGCAGCCGCGGUAAUACGUAGGGUGCGAGCGUUGUCCGGAAUUACUGGGCGUAAAGAGCUCGUAGGCGGUUUGUCGCGUCGUCUGUGAAAUUCUGCAACUCAAUUGUAGGCGUGCAGGCGAUACGGGCAGACUGGAGUACUGCAGGGGAGACUGGAAUUCCUGGUGUAGCGGUGGAAUGCGCAGAUAUCAGGAGGAACACCGGUGGCGAAGGCGGGUCUCUGGGCAGUAACUGACGCUGAGGAGCGAAAGCGUGGGGAGCGAACAGGAUUAGAAACCCGAGUAGUCC